RNAcentral lists this ribosomal RNA (369 nucleotides) under uncultured bacterium. Its description in RNAcentral is "bacterial SSU rRNA". It matches the Rfam family "Bacterial small subunit ribosomal RNA", at positions 144 to 507 of the family's 1533-position model. The record is from RNAcentral.
UAACGUACGACGAAGUUACGCUAAUACCGCAUAUUCUGUGAGCAAGGAAAGCAGGGGAUCGCAAGACCUUGCGCUGAUUGAGCGGCCGAUGUCAGAUUAGCUAGUUGGUGAGGUAAAGGCUCACCAAGGCGACGAUCUGUAGCGGGUCUGAGAGGAUGAUCCGCCACACUGGAACUGAGACACGGUCCAGACUCCUACGGGAGGCAGCAGUGGGGAAUUUUGGACAAUGGGGCAACCCUGAUCCAGCCAUGCCGCGUGAGUGAAGAAGGCCUUCGGGUUGUAAAGCUCUUUCGGCCGGGAAGAAAUCGCAUGGGUUAAUACCCUGUGCGGAUGACGGUACCGGCAUAAGAAGCACCGGCUAACUACGUG